GAUGAACGCUGGCGGCGUGCCUAAUACAUGCAAGUCGAGCGAACAGAUGAGGAGCUUGCUCCUCUGACGUUAGCGGCGGACGGGUGAGUAACACGUGGAUAACCUACCUAUAAGACUGGGAUAACUUCGGGAAACCGGAGCUAAUACCGGAUAAUAUAUUGAACCGCAUGGUUCAAUAGUGAAAGACGGUUUUGCUGUCACUUAUAGAUGGAUCCGCGCCGCAUUAGCUAGUUGGUAAGGUAACGGCUUACCAAGGCAACGAUGCGUAGCCGACCUGAGAGGGUGAUCGGCCACACUGGAACUGAGACACGGUCCAGACUCCUACGGGAGGCAGCAGUAGGGAAUCUUCCGCAAUGGGCGAAAGCCUGACGGAGCAACGCCGCGUGAGUGAUGAAGGUCUUCGGCUCGUAAAACUCUGUUAUUAGGGAAGAACAAAUGUGUAAGUAACUAUGCACGUCUUGACGGUACCUAAUCAGAAAGCCACGGCUAACUACGUG
This 497-nucleotide ribosomal RNA is filed under the name uncultured bacterium. Its description in RNAcentral is "partial 16S ribosomal RNA". It matches the Rfam family "Bacterial small subunit ribosomal RNA", at positions 28 to 507 of the family's 1533-position model. The record is from RNAcentral.